GGAACAACUGUUAGUAGCCACUGGAAUAUAUAUGAAACGAUCUGCAGUUGGACUGUUGUAGCGGAAAUACUGCAAUAGACUACAGUGUGCCGGUUGGAUGAGAUUCAAUGAGCCUUUUUCAUUCAAUUUUUUCUCGAUUCUGGUUUCAUCCGCGGAACAGCAUUGCCCCAAUAUGUGAAGAACCAGAGAGACAUGGCAUUUGAUUGCAGCCAUCAGGGUUGAAUCGUUUUGAAAGGCGUGUUCCGAGUGUGGAACCGAUCUCCUUGAAUGCCCGGUUUGGCACACCCGGGGCUGAGAUGAGAACUAACCCCCAAACAUUAGAGCAAACGUCUUCUUCUUUGUGAAAGUUCUCCAUAACACGGUAUGUUAGAUGCAAGUUGGCAAUAGCGUAGGUGAAGGAAGGACGAGAUUUGAUGAUUUGCAUCAAGUCAUUAACACAGUCUGUUAGAUGCAAGUUGGUUUGCUUGGAAAUUUUCAUUUAAUAAAAUGAUCAAACGAACAGAGUUCUAACACUAUCAUAUGUGUAGAUGUCUUAGUGAGAUACUCUGACUCGGCCAGAGAGUUUCACUGUAUGCCUGGUUUACUAAAACCAGAAGCCAGAUUGAAUCAGAGGAGCUAUAUUAGAGAAUAGAGACAUGUGUAUGUUCUUGGGUUGAUUUCGGUUUAUAUUUUUGGUUUAGUUGUUUUGUAUUUUGGUUCUUUGGUUUAGACCGGUUUAUGUCUCUGGUUUAGCUGCUUCAAGUACUGUAGGCGACAAUCCUUUAUAUUUUCUGGUCUAAUUGUUUUAUGGACUCUCUCUCUCUCA
Tarenaya hassleriana is the source of this 805-nucleotide long non-coding RNA. RefSeq lists it as uncharacterized. The transcript is spliced from 2 exons. Lineage: Eukaryota; Viridiplantae; Streptophyta; Magnoliopsida; Brassicales; Cleomaceae. The record is from RefSeq and is a predicted model, not a curated record.